Molecule: long non-coding RNA, 704 nt
Organism: Pieris napi
Lineage: Eukaryota; Metazoa; Arthropoda; Insecta; Lepidoptera; Pieridae
Exons: 2
Source: RefSeq, a predicted model, not a curated record
UGCGCGCCAGUUAAGUCUGCGCGCGGCCAAAAUUUGAACUAAUCCCAGGCCGUCAUGUUGUUCAUUGUUGUGACAGGUGAAGUGAGCGUUUUGAGUGUCUUGUGUUUUUAUUCGUAUAUUUUAUUGAUCAAAUUUUGUAAUCAUCAUGCCAAAAGUCAUUAAACAGCACUUUUAAUGAGAGACUUUUCGAGAGAUUUUUCUUAAGGUGAAACGUUCUUCUGAAGCAGAACGGGACAAUAAGGGGCCAAUUGUUCCAUUUUCUAAAGUACGGGCUCGGGACUCGGGUUGCUUUCUUGACAGGUAUUUCUGAACGCACUGUCACUCAAAUAAUUCAAGAAGGUAAUAAAGUUGAAGCUUUAUCCAAAAGACGUAUUGCAGAGAAAAAUGUUAGUCAAACUACAAGUGUAAUAUCUUCAAUAACUGAAGCAGCGUUUAGUACCAUAACUACGGAGGAAUGGAUUAAUGUAUGUCAACACGUGGAAAAAAUCGAAGACCAUUAUUUCGUAUCCGACAGGCUCUUGGAUAUAGAAUUAGACAAAUUUAUAAUUGAUCCUACAAGUGACGAUGGAAGCUCAGACUCUGCGGACGACGAAAUGAGCGAAGAUUCAAACAAUACAAUGGAAGGCAUUGACCCACUUGAAGACCACACUUAUCCAAAAUUUAAAAGUUCCGUUAUAUACCUAAUAAAAAAAAUCAAAAAAUAA